GACGAACGCUGGCGGCGUGCCUAAUACAUGCAAGUCGAACGCAUUUUCUUUCACCGUAGCUUGCUACACCGAAAGAAAAUGAGUGGCGAACGGGUGAGGAACACGUUGGUAACCUGCCCAUCAGCGGGGGAUAACACUUGGAAACAGGUGCUAAUACCGCAUAAUUCCAUUUACCGCAUGGUAGAUAGAUGAAAGGCGCUUUUGCGUCACUGAUGGAUGGACCGGCGGUGCAUUAGCUAGAUGGUGGGGUAACGGCCUACCAAGGCGGCGAUGCAUAGCCGAUAUGAGAGGAAGAUGAGACAGACUGGAACUGAGACAGGGCGCGGACUGAGACGGGAGGAAGCAGUGGGGAAUUGUGGAGAAGGGGGGCAACCCUGAUACAGCGAUGCAGAGUGGGGGAAGAAGGCAUUGGGGUUGUAAACCGCUUUUGUUGGGAAAGAAAUGCAGUGGGAGAAUACCCCGCGGGGAUGACGGUACCGAAAGAAUAAGCACGGGCUAACUACGUG
RNAcentral lists this ribosomal RNA (506 nucleotides) under uncultured bacterium. Its description in RNAcentral is "partial 16S ribosomal RNA". It matches the Rfam family "Bacterial small subunit ribosomal RNA", at positions 28 to 507 of the family's 1533-position model. The record is from RNAcentral.